ACUUAAGUAGUUUAUUUAAAAUGUUGAUUUGUGGAAUCAGUGAAACAGUUAUGUCUUAGGUU
RNAcentral lists this transfer RNA (62 nucleotides) under Lamproblatta albipalpus. RNAcentral's name for it is "tRNA-His". The record is from RNAcentral. Lineage: Eukaryota; Metazoa; Arthropoda; Insecta; Blattodea; Lamproblattidae.